RNAcentral lists this ribosomal RNA (800 nucleotides) under Herbaspirillum sp. Bac34C. RNAcentral describes it as "bacterial SSU rRNA". It matches the Rfam family "Bacterial small subunit ribosomal RNA", at positions 36 to 830 of the family's 1533-position model. Lineage: Bacteria; Pseudomonadati; Pseudomonadota; Betaproteobacteria; Burkholderiales; Oxalobacteraceae. The record is from RNAcentral.
CUGGCGGCAUGCCUUAACAUGCAUUUCGAACGGCAGCAUAGGAGCUUGCUCCUGAUGGCGAGUGGCGAACGGGUGAGUAAUAUAUCGGAACGUGCCCUAGAGUGGGGGAUAACUAGUCGAAAGAUUAGCUAAUACCGCAUACGAUCUACGGAUGAAAGUGGGGGAUCGCAAGACCUCAUGCUCCUGGAGCGGCCGAUAUCUGAUUAGCUAGUUGGUGAGGUAAAAGCUCACCAAGGCGACGAUCAGUAGCUGGUCUGAGAGGACGACCAGCCACACUGGGACUGAGACACGGCCCAGACUCCUACGGGAGGCAGCAGUGGGGAAUUUUGGACAAUGGGGGCAACCCUGAUCCAGCAAUGCCGCGUGAGUGAAGAAGGCCUUCGGGUUGUAAAGCUCUUUUGUCAGGGAAGAAACGGUUGAGGCUAAUAUCCUCGGCUAAUGACGGUACCUGAAGAAUAAGCACCGGCUAACUACGUGCCAGCAGCCGCGGUAAUACGUAGGGUGCAAGCGUUAAUCGGAAUUACUGGGCGUAAAGCGUGCGCAGGCGGUUGUGUAAGUCAGAUGUGAAAUCCCCGGGCUCAACCUGGGAAUUGCAUUUGAGACUGCACGGCUAGAGUGUGUCAGAGGGGGGUAGAAUUCCACGUGUAGCAGUGAAAUGCGUAGAUAUGUGGAGGAAUACCGAUGGCGAAGGCAGCCCCCUGGGAUAACACUGACGCUCAUGCACGAAAGCGUGGGGAGCAAACAGGAUUAAAUACCCUGGUAGUCCCCCCCCUAAACGAUGUCUACUAGUUGUCGGGUCU